This 330-nucleotide ribosomal RNA is filed under the name uncultured bacterium. Its description in RNAcentral is "bacterial SSU rRNA". It matches the Rfam family "Bacterial small subunit ribosomal RNA", at positions 568 to 898 of the family's 1533-position model. The record is from RNAcentral.
UGUGUAGGCGGUUCUUUAAGUUUGGUGUGAAAUCUCCCGGCUCAACCGGGAGGGUGCGCCGAAUACUGAGGGACUAGAGUGUGGGAGAGGAAAGUGGAAUUCCUGGUGUAGCGGUGAAAUGCGUAGAUAUCAGGAGGAACACCGGUGGUGUAGACGGCUUUCUGGACCAUAACUGACGCUGAGACACGAAAGCGUGGGUAGCAAACAGGAUUAGAUACCCUGGUAGUCCACGCCCUAAACGAUGCAUAUUUGGUGUGGGUCAUUCAGUUGAUCCGUGCCGGAGCUAACGCGUUAAAUAUGUCGCCUGGGGAGUACAGUCGCAAGGCUGAA